CAUUCAAUGUUUUGAUCUUAAUAUACUAUGGAUUCAUGUCGUUGGAUCAAUCAAUCAAUCACGGAUACGAAAAUAGAAAGCUUAUGAUUAAUCCUUGCUUGUAAAUGAUUUCCUAUUUGACCUUUGCUUGAUUACCAAGUAUUUAAAGAAU
This is a long non-coding RNA of Hibiscus syriacus, 151 nucleotides long. RefSeq lists it as uncharacterized. The transcript is spliced from 3 exons. The record is from RefSeq and is a predicted model, not a curated record. NCBI's taxonomy places the organism in Eukaryota, Viridiplantae, Streptophyta, Magnoliopsida, Malvales, Malvaceae.